AUCAGUCGCGGGCGGCAGCGAGGGUGCCCGCGGUCAUUCGGACAGAACACUGUGCCCCUGGAACAAAAGGGGUACUUCGGGGCGUU
This 86-nucleotide small RNA is filed under the name Streptomyces sp. F-3. RNAcentral's name for it is "nrdJ RNA". It matches the Rfam family "nrdJ RNA". The record is from Rfam by way of RNAcentral. Lineage: Bacteria; Bacillati; Actinomycetota; Actinomycetes; Kitasatosporales; Streptomycetaceae.